CAAUCUCUCGAUCGAUUGGGACCACUGUUCAGUAGUUUUACUCUUAAUAUUAAAACUUGUAACACAGAUUUAAUAUGUUCACUGAACUUGUGAUCCAAGCGAAUCGGAUCAUUCUAGUGCGAGUCGGCACCGAUACCGUAUCAGUUGAAUUGAUUUAUCCUAUAAUUCCCUCCAUAUGGUCCCAUCAACAUCAUCAUCGAUCGGUCACAGGGGACGGACAAGGGACAAUCGCUUUGUAUUGGCCACUCUUCUUCUGCAGUCUUCCGGCACGACAGUUUUUCCUCCCGCGAUUUUCCUGACAAAAACCGGCGUGAGACUUCCGGUGCAGACCCUGAACUCAGUACAAGGAGAUCUCGAGUCCAUCUUCUGUCGGAGUCGCUCCGUCUCAUCUGCAGAUGCUUCCAGGUUGCGUUCAGUUAUCUAAUCUGCUGAUAUUAGCUGUAUCGCUAGGCAAUCACACCUUGAUCUUGGGUGCCUCGCUUCCCAUUGAAGUUGGAUUCGUAUCUCAUUUGUUUUGGAAUGCUUACUCUCCAUAGGAACUGCGCCACAUACUUCAAAAGUUUAAUCUAUUAUGUCGAGCCGACAUCACCAUUUCUGGGCCUGCAAAAGCUGAGCGUUGUGAACGAUGCAGUGAAGUAUGUACAUUAUAUAACCCGUGGGCAUAUUAAACCGGCAGAGGGCAUUGGUUUGGAUGAAUCCCUUCAUCUACGUGCUCGUCUUUGCUUGUUUUCCUCUUACUCUUCUGGACCCAUGUCGAGAUCAUACAGAAGGCGAGCUAGUAGAAGAGCGAAAGCUAAUCGGAAACCCACUCUCAAUGUAGCUCAAUUCAAACAGGCGAUCUCCCAACUCUCGCCAAGGUUUUCACCCGAGGAGCUUUGCGACAUCAUAACUCUGCAGGAAGAUCCUUUGGUAUGCUUAGAACUGUUCAACUGGGCAUCUCAACAGCACAGGUUCCGGCACGAUGUCUGCACAUAUCACAUAACAAUAAAGAAACUCGGUUCAGCGAAAAUGUAUGAAGAAAUGGAUACUGUUGUUAAUCAAGUGCUUGCAGUCUCUCAUAUUGGGACGGAGGCUCUUUACAACACGAUCAUAUAUUUCUUCACAGAAGCUAGGAAGCUGACAAGAGCUGUGAAUAUAUUCAACCACAUGCGAAACAGCAGGAAAUUGGACUGUAGGCCGUCGGUUAGAACUUACAAUCUCUUAUUUGCAGCAUUUUUGAGCAGGGGCAAGAAUUCUUACAUCAAUCACAUGUACAUGGAGACUAUAAGGAGCCUGUUCAAGCAAAUGGUGAGUGAUGGGAUCGAACCCGAUAUAUUCACCCUGAACUCUAUGAUAAAAGGGUAUGUGCUUUCCCUUCAUGUGAAUGAUGCGCUCAGAAUAUUCCAUCAAAUGGAUGUGGUAUACAACAGUAGUCCCAACUCAUUUUCAUAUGAUUAUUUGAUCCAUGGGUUGUGCGCCCAGGCUCGCACUGUAAAUGCAAGGGAAUUGUUCAACGAAAUGAAAGAAAAGGGUUUCAUUCCUAGCAGCAAAUCGUAUAAUUCCCUUGUGAGUGCAUUGGCUUUAAAUGGAGAAAUCGAGGGUGCAGUUAGUUUUAUGUGGGAGAUGAUUGAGAAACACAGGUCUGGCGAUCUAAUUACAUAUAGGACAGUCUUAGACGAGAUGUGUAGACGGGGGAAUGUUAAGGAGGCCAUGAAUUUGCUGAGACAGCUGCAAGAGAAAGAUGCCAUGGAUGGGCAGGCUUACAGGAAGCUUCUAUAUGUCCUUGAAGAUGAUUUCGGGCACUGAUUUCGACAUGCAAUUAAUUUUAUCAGGACUAUGGUGCCAUCCAGUUCUUAUGGAGCUGUCCCAUUUCCUCUUUUACGGCUUCUGCACAUAUUUCGCCAUAGAUCUUACAUGUGGUAUCAUCAACUUUUGUUACUGCUGAUGCUGUAUCUCAGAUUCAUCUGGAUCCUGAGAAAAAAAGAACAUUCUAUUGUUCAACUAUUGUUGCAUAGGUAUCAUUUUCCUCCACAUGGAAUUUAAGGUGCUUUUCAUUAGGGGUGAUGUUGGAAUUGGAUUAUUGCGGUUGUGAUUCAUAAUUCGAGCAAUCAUCACAGGCUUUUGCUAGGAAUUGGCAGCUCCUUGUCGUACGAUCAAUCUCUUAACUGAGAGGAACCGCGAGUUUUCUCCUGUGAGGUUUAUCCAAGAAGUUUCUCUUGCAAGGGAGGUUAAAUGGGGCAAACCACUAAGGAAAGGCAUAUAGACAUGUCCAUAAGUCUUAUGGCUUUUCGAGUAGAGGGCGCCUGCUCCUUUUAUAAACUUCUUCGGUGGAAGCUGCAGCCUAUAUUUUCCCAUCUGCUUUCGAAUGUACUUGUGAUCAACUCUUGAAGAAGGAUUCCACCAUUCUUUUUUAAAAAAGACAUCUUCCACAUUUGUGGAGUACGAUAUAUAUAAUCUUGCGUAUCCUCAUUGACAAAAGAUUGGUUGAAUGUCGAUAUCACGGGACUUUUAAGUCGCCAUCUACUUUUGGUAUGUUGCAUUACAUAGGGACAAAAUGCUGGGAGAAAAUUGUACUUUCCUCUGUAUCUAUCAUAUUAUAACAUCGAAUGAGAUCCUGAUUCUAUUCUUUA
This is a non-coding RNA of Punica granatum (pomegranate), 2609 nucleotides long. The record is from RefSeq and is a predicted model, not a curated record. NCBI's taxonomy places the organism in Eukaryota, Viridiplantae, Streptophyta, Magnoliopsida, Myrtales, Lythraceae.